This is a non-coding RNA of Paramuricea clavata, 403 nucleotides long. Lineage: Eukaryota; Metazoa; Cnidaria; Anthozoa; Malacalcyonacea; Plexauridae. The record is from the annotation of a GenBank genome assembly.
AUCGUGAUUUUAAAACUUUCGCCAUCUUUCUGAACCACUCUCCCAUUUUCGAGUACAUGUGCUUCUUUCGUCGGCGAAAUCGUUGUGCUUGCAAUCUUUACGUUCUUCUUUGCAUGUGAGGACAUAUAGGUCCCUUCCAAUUGCACGGCAUAUACACGAUUUUCUUUGUCUUUUGGACUGUAAUGAAAAACGCAGACGUCCGGCACGGCGUUUAAAAAUUCGUUUAACGACUUAAAUCCAUAGUUUUUUCACAUUGAUCACUCGCCGGACAGUUCUUGGUAGUCCCUUUGUACUUAGCUUUCUUGGACGCCCUUGCUUGAUAUUAAAACGGAGCGUAAAAAGCUUUUGACAUCGUUUGAAACUUUUUCAGCUUUGAACAUUUUGGAAACAACGAGUAUCGAGA